AAGAAAGGAGUAGGAGAUGGCACAGUUAGCUGGGGUCUAGAAGAUGACGAAGACAUGACACUUAUAAGAUGGACAGGGAAGAUAAUUGGGCCUCCAAGGACAAUUUAUGAAAACCAGGUACACAGCCUGAGAAUAGAAUGUGAACCUAAAUACCCGGAAACACCCCCCUUUGUAAGAUUUGUAACAAAAAUUAAAAUGGAGUUAAUAGUUCUAAUGGAGUGGUGGACACAAGAGCCACAUCAGUGCUAGCAAAAUGGCAGAAUUCAUAUAGCACCAAAGUUGUCCUGCAAGAGCUUUGGUGCCUAAUUAUGUCUAAAGAAAAUAUGAAACUCCCUCAGUCACCUGAAGGACAGUGUUACAGCAAUUAA
Molecule: long non-coding RNA, 368 nt
Filed under: Homo sapiens (human)
Lineage: Eukaryota; Metazoa; Chordata; Mammalia; Primates; Hominidae
Description: non-protein coding lnc-NAP1L3-13:1
Source: RNAcentral